UUUUUAAUUUUUUUUUUUUUGGUAAACGGAUCUCCUCCCUGUUGGGAGAAGAAAAACCCAACCACCAAACAAACCCCUCACAACAAUGCCCUUCUCUCUGGGACCAAUUUCCAGACUGCACAGCAGUCCUGACAAGGUCAACAAGCUGGAGCGGACCUCUCUGGUGAUCCAGUGGUUAAGAAUAUGCCUUCCAAUGCAGGAGAUACGGUCCAGAUCUCUGAUCGGGAAACUAAGAUCCCACGUGCCUAGCAGCAACUAAGCCCAUACACCACAACUACUGAGCCCGUGUGCCGAAAGCCUGUGCUCCGCAACAAGAGAAGAGUAGCCCGCACGCGGCAACUAGAGAAGGCCUGCAAGCACAUAGCAGUGAAGACCCAGAGCAGCCAAAAAUGAC
Long non-coding RNA from Bos taurus (domestic cattle), 394 nucleotides. The record is from Ensembl. Lineage: Eukaryota; Metazoa; Chordata; Mammalia; Artiodactyla; Bovidae.